ACUCCUACGGGAGGCAGCAGUGGGGAAUAUUGCGCAAUGGGCGAAAGCCUGACGCAGCAACGCCGCGUGCGGGAUGAAGGCCUUCGGUUGUAAACCGCUUUCAGCAGGGAAGAAGCGAAAGUGACGGUACCUGCAGAAGAAGCACCGGCUAACUACGUGCCAGCAGCCGCGGUAAUACGUAGGGUGCAAGCGUUGUCCGGAUUUUAUUUGGCGUAAAGAGCUCGUAGGCGGUUAGUCACGUCGGAUGUGAAAAACCCAGUGCUUAACACUGGGCCUGCAUUCGAUACGGGCUGACUAGAGUGUUGUAGGGGAGACUGGAACUCCUGGUGUAGCGGUGAAAUGCGCAGAUAUCAGGAAGAACACCGGUGGCGAAGGCGGGUCUCUGGGCAACUACUGACGCUGAGGAGCGAAAGCGUGGGGAGCAAACAGGAUUAGAU
This 437-nucleotide ribosomal RNA is filed under the name uncultured bacterium. Its description in RNAcentral is "bacterial SSU rRNA". It matches the Rfam family "Bacterial small subunit ribosomal RNA", at positions 335 to 783 of the family's 1533-position model. The record is from RNAcentral.